This 313-nucleotide long non-coding RNA is filed under the name Ananas comosus (pineapple). Its description in RNAcentral is "long non-coding RNA (ACOM_LNC014541)". Lineage: Eukaryota; Viridiplantae; Streptophyta; Magnoliopsida; Poales; Bromeliaceae. The record is from RNAcentral.
UUUAAAAUGUAUCAAUUUGCCCCCCUGUGGUUUUAUUUUUCUCUUUUUCUUAUCAAUUUCAUUAUUUUUUUCCUUAAAUUAGUAAUAAAGUUAAAAUUAAAGGUACUAAAAUGAAUAUUUGAUAAAUAUAGAUGAGUAUCUGAAGUUUUUUGUAUAUAAUUUAACGAAAUAUUAACGAAAAAGCUACUGAAAAGAUAAAAACGAAACCAGAGGGGGGCAAAUUGAUACACUUUAAACUACAGGGAGGCAAAGUGAGAAACUACGAAACCACAGGGAGGGUUUUUGAAGUUUUCCCUAAAAAAAUUAACUUUAA